This 253-nucleotide ribosomal RNA is filed under the name uncultured bacterium. RNAcentral's name for it is "partial 16S ribosomal RNA". It matches the Rfam family "Bacterial small subunit ribosomal RNA", at positions 524 to 776 of the family's 1533-position model. The record is from RNAcentral.
GACGAACCGUGCGAACGUUGUUCGGAAUCACUGGGCUUAAAGGGCGCGUAGGCGGGCUGCCAAGUCCGGGGUGAAAUCGUUCGGCCCAACCGGACAAGUGCCUUGGAUACUGGCGGCCUCGAGCGAGGUAGGGGCAGCUGGAACUUCCGGUGGAGCGGUGAAAUGCGUUGAUAUCGGAAGGAACGCCGGUGGCGAAAGCGAGCUGCUGGACCUUUUCUGACGCUGAGGCGCGAAAGCCAGGGGAGCAAACGGG